RNAcentral lists this ribosomal RNA (403 nucleotides) under Verrucomicrobiota bacterium. RNAcentral describes it as "Verrucomicrobia bacterium partial 16S ribosomal RNA". It matches the Rfam family "Bacterial small subunit ribosomal RNA", at positions 355 to 776 of the family's 1533-position model. Lineage: Bacteria; Pseudomonadati; Verrucomicrobiota. The record is from RNAcentral.
UGGGGAAUAUUGCACAAUGGGGGAAACCCUGAUGCAGCGACGCCGCGUGAGCGAAGAAGGUUUUCGAAUCGUAAAGCUCUGUCCUAUGAGAAGAUAAUGACGGUAUCAUAGGAGGAAGCCCCGGCUAAAUACGUGCCAGCAGCCGCGGUAAUACGUAUGGGGCGAGCGUUGUCCGGAAUUAUUGGGCGUAAAGGGUACGUAGGCGGUCUAUUAAGUCAGGUGUGAAAGCGUGAGGCUUAACCUCAUUAAGCACUUGAAACUGAUAGACUUGAGUGAAGGAGAGGAAAGUGGAAUUCCUAGUGUAGCGGUGAAAUGCGUAGAUAUUAGGAGGAAUACCGGUGGCGAAUGCGACUUUCUGGACUUUUACUGACGCUCAGGUACGAAAGCGUGGGGAGCAAACAGG